Molecule: ribosomal RNA, 487 nt
Filed under: Bacillus amyloliquefaciens
Lineage: Bacteria; Bacillati; Bacillota; Bacilli; Caryophanales; Bacillaceae
Description: bacterial SSU rRNA
Rfam family: Bacterial small subunit ribosomal RNA
Source: RNAcentral
GCCGCGUGAGUGAUGAAGGUUUUCGGAUCGUAAAGCUCUGUUGUUAGGGAAGAACAAGUGCCGUUCAAAUAGGGCGGCACCUUUGACGGUACCUAACCAGAAAGCCACGGCUAACUACGUGCCAGCAGCCGCGGUAAUACGUAGGUGGCAAGCGUUGUCCGGAAUUAUUGGGCGUAAAGGGCUCGCAGGCGGUUUCUUAAGUCUGAUGUGAAAGCCCCCGGCUCAACCGGGGAGGGUCAUUGGAAACUGGGGAACUUGAAGUGCAGAAGAGGAGAGUGGAAUUCCACGUGUAGCGGUGAAAUGCGUAGAGAUGUGGAGGAACACCAGUGGCGAAGGCGACUCUCUGGUCUGUAACUGACGCUGAGGAGCGAAAGCGUGGGGAGCGAACAGGAUUAGAUACCCUGGUAGUCCACGCCGUAAACGAUGAGUGCUAAGUGUUAGGGGGUUUCCGCCCCUUAGUGCUGCAGCUAACGCAUUAAGCACCUCC